Small nucleolar RNA from Esox lucius (northern pike), 132 nucleotides. Ensembl annotates it as small nucleolar RNA SNORA3/SNORA45 family. The record is from Ensembl. Lineage: Eukaryota; Metazoa; Chordata; Actinopteri; Esociformes; Esocidae.
AGCGAGGCUAGAGUCACACCUUGACACCCCCCAUUGUCUUGGUGUGCUAGAGUGCUCGCAGAGUCAAUUUCUUUGCUUAUUCAUUGUCUGUAGUCUUUUGUGGCCCAGCCAAUCACCAGCUCAGAGACACAU